CCUACGGGAGGCAGCAGUGGGGAAUAUUGCACAAUGGGGGAAACCCUGCUGCAGCGACGCCGCGUGAGUGAAGAAGUAUUUCGGUAUGUAAAGCUCUAUCCGCAGGGAGGAAAAUGACGGUCCCUGAUUAAGAAGCCCCGGCUAACUACGUGCCAGCAGCCGCGGUAAUACGUAGGGGGCAAGCGUUAUCCGGAUUUACUGGGUGGAAAGGGGGCGUAGACGGCAGCACAAGACGGGAGUGAAAUGCCGGGGCUUAACCCCGGAACUGCUUUGGAAACUGUGCAGCUAGAGGGCAGGAGAGGUAAGUGGAAUUCCUAGUGGAGCGGUGAAAUGCGUAGAUAUUAGGAGGAACACCAGUGGCGAAGGCGGUUUACUGGACUGUAACUGACGUUGAGGCUCGAAAGCGUGGGGAGCAAACAGGAUUAGAUACCCCAGUAGUC
This 440-nucleotide ribosomal RNA is filed under the name uncultured bacterium. RNAcentral's name for it is "partial 16S ribosomal RNA". It matches the Rfam family "Bacterial small subunit ribosomal RNA", at positions 338 to 795 of the family's 1533-position model. The record is from RNAcentral.